CUUGCCUUACAGAUACACAUGCUCAGCAUUUGUCUGCAGAGGUUUUCAACUUGCCCUGAAACUCCAUCCUGGCAAAACGUCUGACACACAUCCCAGAGCACUUCAGUUUAAGCAUGGAGUGCUAUUCUGAUGCCACAGCUUCCAACACUAAGGGAAAGAACUAUGAGCUGGUUUUACAACAGCGGAACAUUGUCUGGCUGAAGCACUAUGACAGAAAGGUUUGUUGCAAGCUGCCAAAUUAGGGACCACAAUAAUUACCUGUACCAAAGACUCUGAAGAAUAGCUUCUGGGUAAUGGAAUUUGAUAAUACAUG
Molecule: long non-coding RNA, 313 nt
Filed under: Coturnix japonica (Japanese quail)
Lineage: Eukaryota; Metazoa; Chordata; Aves; Galliformes; Phasianidae
Description: lncRNA (ENSCJPG00005014670.1)
Source: RNAcentral